Molecule: ribosomal RNA, 520 nt
Filed under: uncultured bacterium
Lineage: Bacteria
Description: partial 16S ribosomal RNA
Rfam family: Bacterial small subunit ribosomal RNA
Source: RNAcentral
AGCGAACGUUAGCGGCGGGCCUAACACAUGCAAGUCGAACGAGAAUGUAGGCUUCGGUCUACUAGUAAAGUGGCGGACGGGUGCGUAACACGUGGGUAAUCUACCUUCCGGCGGGGGACAACAGUCCGAAAGGAUUGCUAAUACCGCAUACGUCAGCGGCGCCUCCGGGCGCUGUUGGGAAAGAUUGCCUCUCCUUGGGAGCUCACACCGGAAGAUGAGCCCGCGUCCCAUCAGCUAGUUGGUGAGGUAAUGGCUCACCAAGGCUAAGACGGGUAGCUGGUCUGAGAGGAUGAUCAGCCACACUGGGACUGCGACACGGCCCAGACUCCUACGGGAGGCAGCAGUGGGGAAUAUUGGGCAAUGGGCGAAAGCCUGACCCAGCCACGCCGCGUGAGUGAUGAAGGCCUUCGGGUCGUAAAGCUCUGUGGGGAGGGACGAACAAAUCUGGGGCUAAUCACCCGGGUCCUGACGGUACCUCCUUAGCAAGCACCGGCUAACCCUGUGCCAGCCGCCGCAGUAA